Pantoea sp. PSNIH1 is the source of this 102-nucleotide non-coding RNA. The record is from Rfam. Lineage: Bacteria; Pseudomonadati; Pseudomonadota; Gammaproteobacteria; Enterobacterales; Erwiniaceae.
UGUGUUGUAGCUCAGCGGCAGCAGCGUUCGCUCUUUUAUUCGGCCUGCAGGGCGGUUAAAGGGACAAGCGAAAGGUCGCCGGUUCAAAUCCGGCCAGCACAA